RNAcentral lists this ribosomal RNA (253 nucleotides) under uncultured bacterium. RNAcentral describes it as "partial 16S ribosomal RNA". It matches the Rfam family "Bacterial small subunit ribosomal RNA", at positions 524 to 776 of the family's 1533-position model. The record is from RNAcentral.
UACGGGGGGAGCAAGCGUUGUUCGGAUUUACUGGGCGUAAAGGGCGCGUAGGCGGCGUGACAAGUCACUUGUGAAAUCUCCGGGCUUAACCCGGAGCGGCCAAGUGAUACUGUCGUGCUAGAGUGCGGAAGGGGCUACUGGAAUUCUCGGUGUAGCGGUGAAAUGCGUAGAUAUCGAGAGGAACACCUGCGGCGAAGGCGGGUAGCUGGGCCGACACCGACGCUGAGGCGCGAAAGCCAGGGGAGCGAACGGG